This 563-nucleotide small RNA is filed under the name Arabidopsis thaliana (thale cress). Its description in RNAcentral is "ATSL250100". The record is from RNAcentral. Lineage: Eukaryota; Viridiplantae; Streptophyta; Magnoliopsida; Brassicales; Brassicaceae.
UUUUAUAUAAUCUUUUCUAAAUUAGGAUGAUUUGAUAUGUUUAAUAUUAGUGGUCUUAAAAAAUAAUAAAUUAAAGAUUUAAUCCGUAUUGAAACGGUGGAUUAAUUAUAUUUUACCUUUUUAUUAAUGUUGAUUCAAAAACCCGUCACUCCAAAUCCGUCUUGCCAAAAAGCUAUUUAUUUUAUUAAUAUUAAUUUUACUAAUGAUAUGACUCUGAAUUAUAAUUUAAAUAUUUUACCUAAUAACAUAGGAGUACACCAUAUUUAUUUAAUAGGGGAAUGUACCAUAUGACCGAAUGCACUUUUACCCAAAUCCACCAAAAAAGUCUUGCAAAAAUACUAUAGAGAUAAGAAACGAUAGUCGGUUUUGAUAGGUAUAAGAUUAGCAAAUAUAUUAGUUAGCUUAAAUUAGUUAAAAAAUACAAAUCGAAAAGGUAUAUUACACUUUAUUCGAAUAUAGUAUCAAAACUUAUAUAACACAGAGAUUUGAUAAUUUUUUAAUUGUUGAAUACUUUUUUUUUGUGCUAAUUUUUAUAUGAUUAAGAUUUAAUUGAUUUUGUAUAU